This 1068-nucleotide ribosomal RNA is filed under the name uncultured eukaryote. Its description in RNAcentral is "partial 18S ribosomal RNA". The record is from RNAcentral.
GGGCGGUGUGUACAAGGGGCAGGGACGUAAUCAACGCAAGCUGAUGACUUGCGCUUACUAGGAAUUCCUCGUUCAAGAGCAAAAAUUGCAAAGCUCUAUCCCCAGCACGAUACAGUUUAACAAGAUUACCUAGUCCUCUCGGACAAGGGUAUAGACUCGCUGGCUGUAUCAGUGUAGCGCGCGUGCGGCCCAGAAUGUCUAAGGGCAUCACAGACCUGUUAUUGCCUCGAACCUCCAUCAGGUUUUUCCUGAUAGUCCUCUUAAGAAGAAUCAUACAACAAAUUGUUAUACACCCUAUUUAAGAGUCAAGGUCUCGUUCGUUAUCGCAAUUAAGCAGACAAAUCACUCCACCAACUAAGAACGGCCAUGCACCACCACCCACAAAAUCAAGAAAGAGCUCUCAAUCUGUCAAUCCUUAUUGUGUCUGGACCUGGUGAGUUUCCCCGUGUUGAGUCAAAUUAAGCCGCAGGCUCCACUCCUGGUGGUGCCCUUCCGUCAAUUCCUUUAAGUUUCAGCCUUGCGACCAUACUCCCCCCAGAGCCCAAAAACUUUGAUUUCUCACACGGUGCCGAAAAAGCUAAUUAUUUCACUCCUCCGAUCCCGAGUCGGCAUCGUUUACGGUUGAGACUACAACGGUAUCUGAUCGUUUUCGAUCCCCCAACUUUCGUUCUUGAUUAAUGAAAACAUCCUUGGCGAAUGCUUUCGCAGUAGUUAGUCUUCAUCAGGUUUAAGAAUUUCACCUCUGACUGAUGAGUACUAGCGCCCCCGACUGCUCCUGUUAAUCAUUACGACGGUUCUAGAAACCAACAAAAUAAAACCAUACGUCUUAUUCUAUUAUUCCAUGCUAAUAUAUUCGAGCAUAACGCCUGCUUUGAACACUCUAAUUUCCUCACAGUAAAUGUCCUGACCUUCCCAACCACGCGGUUAAACGCAGCAGGGCGUCCAGGAAAAAGGCUUGCCAUAAGAGUAACGCACCGUUAGGUGGACCCCGCUGAAAAACCCAAAAUUCAACUACGAGCUUUUUAACUGCAACAACUUUAAUGGACGCUAUUGGAGCUGGAAUUACCG